This is a long non-coding RNA of Cottoperca gobio, 1566 nucleotides long. The record is from Ensembl. Lineage: Eukaryota; Metazoa; Chordata; Actinopteri; Perciformes; Bovichtidae.
CAACGCCCGAUCUCGUCUGAUCUCGGAAGCUAAGCAGAGUUGGGCUGGGUCAGUACUUGGAUGGGUGACCGCCUGGGAAUACCCGGUGCUGUAAGCAUUUUGUUUCCUUCUUAAUUAGCAAAAUGAAGACAUGAAUAGAACUGUCCGCAGUAUAUUAAGAAAAGACAAUUCAUUGUGUUUUACCUUCAAUAAACAGCAAGUGUAUAUGCUCUAUUUCAGAUUACGGCCAUACCACACUGACAACGCCCGAUCUCGUCUGAUCUCGGAAGCUAAGCAGAGUUGGGCUGGGUCAGUACUUGGAUGGGUGACCGCCUGGGAAUACCCGGUGCUGUAAGCAUUUUGUUUCCUUCUUAAUUAGCAAAAUGAAGACAUGAAUAGAACUGUCCGCGUAUAUUAAGAAAAGACAAUUCAUUGUGUUUUACCUUCAAUAAACAGCAAGUGUAUAUGCUAUAUUUUAGAUUACGGCCAUACCACACUGACAACGCCCGAUCUCGUCUGAUCUCGGAAGCUAAGCAGAGUUGGGCUGGGUCAGUACUUGGAUGGGUGACCGCCUGGGAAUACCCGGUGCUGUAAGCAUUUUGUUUCCUUCUUAAUUAGCAAAAUGAAGACAUGAAUAGAACUGUCCGCGUAUAUUAAGAAAAGACAAUUCAUUGUGUUUUACCUUCAAUAUAAAGCAAGUGUAUAUGCUCUAUUUCAGAUUACGGCCAUACCACACUGACAACGCCCGAUCUCGUCUGAUCUCGGAAGCUAAGCAGAGUUGGGCUGGGUCAGUACUUGGAUGGGUGACCGCCUGGGAAUACCCGGUGCAGUAAGCAUUUUGUUUCCUUCUUAAUUAGCAAAAUGAAGACAUGAAUAGAACUGUCCACGUAUAUUAAGAAAAGACAAUUCAUUGUGUUUUACCUUCAAUAAACAGCAAGUGUAUAUGCUCUAUUUCAGAUUACGGCCAUACCACACUGACAACGCCCGAUCUCGUCUGAUCUCGGAAGCUAAGCAGAGUUGGGCUGGGUCAGUACUUGGAUGGGUGACCGCCUGGGAAUACCCGGUGCUAUUACGGCCAUACCACACUGACAACGCCCGAUCUCGUCUGAUCUCGGAAGCUAAGCAGAGUUGGGCUGGGUCAGUACUUGGAUGGGUGACCGCCUGGGAAUACCCGGUGCUGUAAGCAUUUUGUUAACCUUCUUAAUUAGCAAAAUGAAGACAUGAAUAGAACUGUCCGCGUAUAUUAAGAAAAGACAAUUCAUUGGUUUUACCUUCAUAUAACAGCAAGUGUAUAUGCUCUAUUUAGAUUACGGCCAUACCACACUGACAACGCCCGAUCUCGUCUGAUCUCGGAAGCUAAGCAGAGUUGGGCUGGGUCAGUACUUGGAUGGGUGACCGCCUGGGAAUACCCGGUGCUGUAAGCAUUUUGUUUACCUUCUUAAUUAGCAAAAUGAAGACAUGAAUAGACUGUCCGCGUAUAUUAAGAAAGACAAUUCAUUGUGUUUUACCUUCAUAUAAACAGCAAGUGUAUAUGCUCUACUUUAGAAUUACGGCCAUACCACACUGACAACACCCGAUCUCAUCUGA